CGUGUCGUGAGAUGUUGGGUUAAGUCCCGUAACGAGCGCAACCCUUGUCCUUAGUUACCAGCACGUAAUGGUGGGCACUCUAAGGAGACUGCCGGUGACAAACCGGAGGAAGGUGGGGAUGACGUCAAGUCAUCAUGGCCCUUACGGCCUGGGCUACACACGUGCUACAAUGGUCGGUACAGAGGGUUGCCAAGCCGCGAGGUGGAGCUAAUCUCACAAAACCGAUCGUAGUCCGGAUCGCAGUCUGCAACUCGACUGCGUGAAGUCGGAAUCGCUAGUAAUCGCGAAUCAGAAUGUCGCGGUGAAUAUGUUCCCGGGCCUUGUACACACCGCCCGUCACACCAUGGGAGUGGGUUGCACCAGAAGUAGCUAGUCUAACCUUCGGGAGGACGGUUACCACGGUGCGAUUCAUGACUGGGGU
RNAcentral lists this ribosomal RNA (421 nucleotides) under uncultured bacterium. Its description in RNAcentral is "bacterial SSU rRNA". It matches the Rfam family "Bacterial small subunit ribosomal RNA", at positions 1061 to 1481 of the family's 1533-position model. The record is from RNAcentral.